CCUACGGGUGGCAGCAGUGAGGAAUAUUGGUCAAUGGACGCAAGUCUGAACCAGCCAUGCCGCGUGCAGGACUACGGCUCUAUGAGUUGUAAACUGCUUUUGUACGAGGGUAAACGCAGAUACGCGUAUCUGUCUGAAAGUAUCGUACGAAUAAGGAUUGGCUAACUCCGUGCCAGCAGCCGCGGUAAUACGGAGGAUUCAAGCGUUAUCCGGAUUUAUUGGGUUUAAAGGGUGCGUAGGCGGUCGGAUAAGUUAGAGGUGAAAUCCCGAGGCUCAACUUCGGAAUUGCCUCUGAUACUGUUCGGCUAGAGAGUAGUUGCGGUACGCGGAAUGUAUGGUGUAGCGGUGAAAUGCUUAGAGAUCACACAGAACACCGAUUGCGAAGGCAGCUUACCAGGCUACUUCUGACGUUGAGGCACGAAAGCGUGGGGAGCGAACAGGAUUAGAUACCCCUGUAGUC
RNAcentral lists this ribosomal RNA (460 nucleotides) under uncultured bacterium. RNAcentral describes it as "partial 16S ribosomal RNA". It matches the Rfam family "Bacterial small subunit ribosomal RNA", at positions 338 to 795 of the family's 1533-position model. The record is from RNAcentral.